Callithrix jacchus (white-tufted-ear marmoset) is the source of this 2081-nucleotide long non-coding RNA. RefSeq lists it as uncharacterized. The record is from RefSeq and is a predicted model, not a curated record. NCBI's taxonomy places the organism in Eukaryota, Metazoa, Chordata, Mammalia, Primates, Cebidae.
GAUGGCUGUUUAAAAGACCCCUUCCCUCUCUCUCUCUCUUGCUUCUUGCCAUGUGACAUGCCCGCUCCCAUUCACCUUCUGCCAUGAUUUGAAACUUCUUGAUUCUGAGAUGAUUAGAAAGUUCUGGGAGCCCUCACUGGAGGCAUGGUGCCAGCAGAUGGAUUUACUGCUUGAUUCUGUUCUGGAUUCUAUUCAAAAACUUUUUAUCUGUUGGGGACCACUCUGCUACAGGUAUGUAAAUGACAUCCAGUGGAAUCUCCUCACUUUGUCUGGUUUCUGGGGACCAUUAUAAGGUUUUUAUGAGAACAGUGAGUCACUGCUUAAGCAACCAGUAUUCAGCUAAAGAAAUUGGGUGGCGCAUGCCUGUACUGUGGUCCCAGCUACUCUGGAGGCUGAGGCAGGAGGAUUGCUUGAGCCCGGGAGGCUGAUGCUGUAGUGAGCUAUGAUCACACCACUGCAUUCAGUGGGUCUUCAUUUCCUUAUGAAGGCUCCUGUCUCCUGUAAAAUUUAUAUUGAAUACAUUUGCAUGGUUUUCCCUUGUUAAUCUGCUUUUUUGUUGCAAGGGCUCCAGUCAGGAACCUAGAAGGAUAGAAAGAAAAGUUUUUUCCUUUGCUGCCCUACAUUUCAGAUGAGAAAACUGAGGCUCAGAGAGGGAAACGGACCUGCCCAAGGUCACACAGCCAGCACAAGGUAGAGCUGGGAUUCGAACCCGGUCUACCUGGCCCUUCCAUUACACUUUCAGUGCUGAUGCUAGCUUUGGUGUAAACCAAACUGGAACACAUCAUGUGUUUAGCACAGCACCAGGCAAAUAGUAAGCGCUCAACAAAUGCAUGGUUCUUGUCCUUGUUUUCUUUGCUUGACUUUCAGGACAAAGCUCGUAACCCCCCAAAGGCUUGAUGAUCGACUCUGGCUAUGAUUGACUCCGCCCACCACCACAUGUCCCUUACUCUAGUGCUGGCGUGAAAUCACGUGCUGACCUCACCCUACAUCUCACCCUCAUCUUCCACCAUCAUCUAAAUAGUACCUGGCAGAAGCAAUCCAUCCUCCUUCAGGGAGUCGUCCUGGAUGGGCACCUCCCUUCCAGUUAUGGAGGCUGCAUCCAAUUUCCAGGGGCUGCGUCUGGUGAGGUCCUUCUUGCUGCUGCUGACUCUCUGCAGAGUCCCAAGGUGGUAAAUAGGGAAGCAAAGGGGGCUGGGACCAGACCCUGGGCCCCUUCCACACUUAGAGGAAGAGCCAAGACUGCGUGGUGUCAUGGAAGCCAAGGAAAGAAGAUGCUUCAAGAAGGAGGGAGCACAACUGUGUCCAAAGCUGCCAAGAGGGCCAGUAAUAUGGGGACAGAGGAGUGAUCAUUGGGUGACCUCAUUCAGUUCCACAGUGAAAGUCGCAUCUGGACACCAGGGACUCCCAAUUGCAGAUUCUGUCUUCACCCUGACACUCCCCUGCACCUCAGUGGCGUGUACACACCUGCCUGUUGAAGCUCUCUCCGUGAAUGGUUGUCUUAGUGUGUUUGUGCUGCUGUAACAGAAGUACCCAAGACUGGGUAAUUUAUAAAGAACAGAACGUUAUCUCUCACAGUUCUGGAGGCCGAGCAGUCCAAGAUCGGGGCAAGAAGAUUUUGUGUCUGGUGAGGACUGCUCUCUGCUUUCAAGAUGGUGCUUUCUUGCUGUGUCCUCACAUGGCAGAAGAGUUAGAAGGGGCACAUCAACUCCCUCAAGGCCUUUUGUAAGGACACUAAUUCCAUCCCAAAGGUCCCACCUCCUAAUACUAUUACAUUGGGUCUUAGGUUCCAACAUGAAUUUUGGAGAGACACAGACAUACCAUAGCAAUGGUCAGUGGGCACUCAUUCCCAACUUGGCUAAAAAUAAAGACUCAUGACUUUGGAUAAAUUAAGUAUUCUGGGCCUCCGUUUCCUCAUCUGUAUAGAGUGGUUGUGAGGCUUACAGAAGAGAUUCCAUGUAGAACAGCCUCUUCACCAGGAAUGAUUUUCCCUAGGGGCCAUUUGGCAGUGUCUGGAGACAUUUUUGGUUGUCCAACUCUCUCUCUCUCUGUGUACACUCAUGCAUAUACACGUGCAUGCAUAC